ACUGCAAGCUCGAAAAAAAUUUGAUGACGUUCGCUUUGAUAUCAGGCAAGCUCUCACUCAAUUUUUCUCAAACAACCAAAGUGGAGUUGUACAGCAUUGUACCAACAAAAGGACGGUUCAAGUUCCGAGACCAGAAACUAAGUCUCGCAUUUUCACGGGAGGCCAACAUAGCAGCAUUAGUGCUUUUGAAUAUUGAAUACUGCUUCUACAUCAUGGACUAUCUCGUAAAUGAAAUGAGCAAAAAUGGAAACUUUGCUCAAUAAUUCUUAAUUCUAACUUAAUAAAAGUAUUGAUUACCUUAAA
Molecule: long non-coding RNA, 303 nt
Organism: Venturia canescens
Lineage: Eukaryota; Metazoa; Arthropoda; Insecta; Hymenoptera; Ichneumonidae
Exons: 2
Source: RefSeq, a predicted model, not a curated record